This is a long non-coding RNA of Cynoglossus semilaevis (tongue sole), 3276 nucleotides long. RefSeq lists it as uncharacterized. NCBI's taxonomy places the organism in Eukaryota, Metazoa, Chordata, Actinopteri, Pleuronectiformes, Cynoglossidae. The transcript has 12 exons. The record is from RefSeq and is a predicted model, not a curated record.
GAAUCUUGCUGAAAAACUCCUUGCUCUCCUUACAUCGGUGCCAGUCUGAGACUACAACUGAUCCAGGAGCAGCGAGAGACGGAAACGCUGCCAUGUCGUAAAGUUUGAUGAAUCAGUCUGAGCUACUUCCACGUCACGGAAUGAACCGCUGGAAACUCCGAAAUGGUUGGGCUCCUGGGUGGAAUCCACACACAGGCCACUUUCUACAGUCGGCUAAAAAAAAAGUCCUUGGGCUACGGCAGAGAGGCUCGGUGAUUAAUGGACACAGGUUUCCUGAGUCUAAAUAACCAGGUCAACGCUCGACUUCUGAAGCAGCAGAUUUGUGUGAAACAAAAAUAUGUAAUCUUCCUCCGGACACCUGCCUGACAACGUCAGCCGGGCCAGGUGUUGGAAACCUCUGAAGGCUGUUACGGAAUAUCACUUAUUUAUCCUCCCUAUCCUAGAAUAUUUAAAAAAAAUAUAUAAAAAUCGUUUUUUAUUUUUAAUACUGUAGUAUAUGCAAUCACAAAAAAAAUAAAAACCCAUUUACGAUCAGUGAUGAUUAAUAUUUAUGAAAGAAACAAACGAUACUUUUCUAACCCUGUGAAGUCCCAGUUUUGUUUUGAUCAGUUUUCUAAUGAACUCUUUGUCGUUUCCUUGUCACAGAGUGAACCAGAAGUCUUCCAGUCAAGGUGACUCGGACCAUCAGGAGUCAUAAACCACAGCCUGACUCACUAACCUCUGGGAGGUGCGCGGCCUCAUCCCUGUAAUCUGUGGUUUGUGUCGUCGUGGCAACUCACACAAAACAAAUUCCUGCGAGAUGGAAGACACCGCUCAGGUCCAAACGUUCCAAAGUGAAACAGUCUUUAGGUCGGACAGUCCCUGCUGACCGUCCUCUAAAUAAUCGCCUGGAUUUCCCCUCCUCUCCUCCUGGACGUCGUUCCCACGAGUGAGUCAAGGCCCGUCUGUGCAGCGGCGUGCACUCGGAGAGAAGAGGCUUCAGGCUGAGGACCAAUCACACCCGCCUCCCCCCGACAGAGGAUCCCCCGACAUCAACUGAAGAGGCGGACAUUGUCUCGUCCAAAGUUACCGACCACGGACAUUAAUCAUACAACGGACAGAGCUCCACACAGAGAGGGCGCUCUCCUGAGAUGAUCUUUAUCCACUCAGUUCUGAAAACGCUCGACUACUUGAGAGAAACUUCCAGAUCCAACAACUGAAACAGUCUUUUAUCUUCAGUCCUUGUCGGUUCUGCUCCACACUCACACGCUGAGGUGUUAUUUUCAACUGUGCUAACGCCGAGACUCUGACGAGUGGUUUCUGUUGUCACACACUCCUCCACGGUGUCAAAGGUUAACACCCUCUCUAACACACUAGUAUGCAAAUGCCUCCAAUACAAUACAGGCUUCUUUUUAUUCACCUAACAGAGCAUGUGUCGAGCUGCAGAGUGGAGAGUGGACCGCGGCCUCACAGCGCUCGCCCCCGCGGGUACCCGAAUACCCGAAUACCCCUCCCUCCCUCCCUCCUCCCCUCUGGUCCAAGGGCUUCUGAGGGCAGCGGUAAAAUCCAAUCCCAAUGUGAUGAUGAAACUCUCAGAUAGUUCUGCUCAACAAUCGCACCUCUGUUCUGGGUCCAGUGGGAAGUGAAAGGUUACUGGUUCAAUUCCCCGUUCAACUGUUUUCUAUAUAAAAUGGUUUGAAUGGAUUGAAGAUUCCUGUCCAACUUCCUGUUCAAACCUGUAGGAGAUUAUAUGGGAUCAUUAAAGCAAACCAGCCUGGCGUUCAGAAACAAAAGCAGCGGCGUGCCUCGACAGGUCUUCAUCUUCUGAUCCCACCAGAUGAAAGGUGAGAAUGUGGUUCCAAAAACACGCGGUGUUCCUCCAGAACACAUGGGCUGAAUCUGUUUGUGGCUUCGCCCACGAUCACUCAUCGCCGCCUGCAUCGCCGCUGACCUCACGCAUCAAAGAGCGACAGCAGAAGAAAAAUGAAGUCUGCAGGUAAGGGCAGAAGCGUAGGAUAUUAACGGAAGAGUCGUUUGGCAGCAGGGCCUCACCUUUGAAAUUCAAAACCUCCAAUUAACCGGGCCUUUAAAGGUACAUAUCGUAUAACAAUCAUAACCAGCCGCAGAACCACUCUGGGGAAUAGUCAUUCAAAGUGAGCCUUUGUUUGUUGCUGAUUGCUUUUGUUCCCGUAUUAGUGUGUGACAGGUUGUGUAUUCAACCUGAGGUCACUGUAAUCCUCGUCUGGCAGGAGAGAGAGAGAGAGAGAGAGAGAGAGAGGAAAGCGUGAAAGUGAAUUUCAGUAAAGACCUGUGUUAAAUCUAAUGACUGUUGGGGGAGCCCCCCCCCCUGCACUAACCCCCCCCCCAUAAAGAUGACAGCACACAUUCAUAUGCAUUGGCUUGUGUGCUCAGCUUGACCAAGUCUGCCCCGCAGGCUGAACAAAGGGGAGGAAGGAAGAGAGGGGCUGUAGAGAAUGCCCGGGGGUGUGGAGUGACAACAACACACACUCACACACUCACACACUCACACUCACACACACACACAGUGUUCCUCCAGCUUGCAUCCUGUGGUCUCUCAUGUCUGCAGUCGUAGCAGUGACAGCUGGGCCAGCACACUCCACAUGGGUUCAUUCUCUCUUUAAGCUGCCACACACACACACACACACACACACACACUGACACGCACACACAAGGAUACUUCGUCCUGUUUACUAUUUACCUUUCACAGUGUCCAGCCAACAUGGGAGGUUUCCACAGUGUGAUCACAGCCAUUACAGCUGUUUGUGUGUGUGUGUGUGUGUGUGUGUGUGUGUGUGUGUCAUGUUGUCAUAAAGUGGGGCAAAUGUGACCUUCAAGUCUUACCUUUAAUGUGGUGGUUAAUUACUUUUUUUUGGGGCUCCAGUCCGGUCGUUCCUGCUGCCAGUCUGACGACCACAAACAAAACAGACUUCCCGAAACUCGACGGGUGUUGGUCGACAAUUUUGUGGAAAGACCAUCACGUUGGAUCACCAGGAGAGAAGAGUCCAGAAGGUGACUGUCGGUGUGGUCCACAACAAUGACGUCACUAUUUGGCCAAACGGAACACCUGCUCUGUUGGAGGUAGAGCUGCAUUCAUGGCAAUGACAGGAAACAGCUGAAGUAUGCCGCACCACCAGAGGAUGAAAGGUCUGAUUCAUGCACCGUACCGUGGUAACUCGGCAACUGGUGGACUCUAACCUGAAACCCUCUGGACCCAAGUCCACUUCCCUGACCACCACUGACCACUGUGCACGGACCCGUGACAGGAUUUCUUUCUGU